This 471-nucleotide long non-coding RNA is filed under the name Rattus norvegicus (Norway rat). RNAcentral's name for it is "long non-coding RNA NONRATT005166". Lineage: Eukaryota; Metazoa; Chordata; Mammalia; Rodentia; Muridae. The record is from RNAcentral.
AGGAUCCCAGUGUCCAGGCAUGAGCCAGCAACCCUGGAAACCUACACUCCCCAGAGAAAAACCAAAAAUUGAAAGAAAACCAAAUUAAAAGGAAGCAAAACACAUAAAGCAUCAGUCACAGUUUGCCCCAGCCUGGAUCUGACCUCGAAGAAGCCGGAAGACAGAUGUGCCCCACUUCAAACACGUCUGGCUUCUGGCACCACUUGUGAGGCUCCCUGAAAGUUCACCCAUGCUCCUGCUGUAUCCCAAAGCAAGGCCAUGAGCAGCCAAACACACUAGUGACCAAACACAAGCCACUGCCUCAUGCCUCUUCAGCCACAUUUAUAGAGGCCAAGCCAGAGCCUCUCCUGGCCCUGCCAGCUCUUCUGUCACCUACAGUCCUGUUGGUGACAGAAGAGUGUAUCUUGCCUUCAGGUCUUGCAGUUGAAAGCAUGGAAACCAAAACAAACGAACAAAAAAGAGAGAAAGAAA